AUGGAUACGUCUCCGCCAACGCUUCAGCAAGGAGAGGCAAUUGCGGGAGCAAGAGACGAGGAGUGGAGCCGAAAAGCCUACGAAACAAAAAUGGGUGUUAUAUGAGAGUCUCACUUUCUUGGGAAGACAUAUAACCCAAAGAAGAAGCUUUUCUAAUGUCAACUUUACGAAGCCAUCUGGGCCGAACGAUAUCAGUGGGGCGUCAUUGAAAACCCAAUGUUCAAUGGUUCUUUAUUAGGACAACCAUGAAAUAUCCAUCAAUGACUACUCUAAUUACAAGACACCAGCUUCAACAUCCGGCCAGCACUCACUGCAUACAUCGACGUCGAAAGAAAUCAGCCUAUUUUAUAUUUGGAACUGGA
Molecule: long non-coding RNA, 362 nt
Organism: Formica exsecta
Lineage: Eukaryota; Metazoa; Arthropoda; Insecta; Hymenoptera; Formicidae
Exons: 3
Source: RefSeq, a predicted model, not a curated record